GACGAACGCUGGCGGCGUGCCUAAUACAUGCAAGUCGAACGCAGUGGGGACGGGUGAGUAACACGUGGGUAACCUCCCAUCAGAGGGGAUAACACUUGGAAACAGGUGCUAAACCGAUACUGAUGGAUGGACCCGCGGUGCAUUAGCUAGUUGGUGAGGUAACGGCUCACCAAGGCCACGAUGCAUAGCCGACUUGAGAGGGCAGACGUGCACCCUGGGACUGAGACAGGGCCCAGACUCCUCGGGGAGGCAGCAGUAGGGAAUCUUCGGCAAUGGACGAAAGUCUGACAGAGUAACGCGGCGUGAGUGAAGAAGGUUUUCGGAUCGUAAAACUCAGUUGUUAGAGAAGCGGUAUCUAACCAGAAAGCAACGGCUAACUACGUGCCAGCAGGCGCGGUAAUAC
RNAcentral lists this ribosomal RNA (403 nucleotides) under uncultured bacterium. RNAcentral describes it as "partial 16S ribosomal RNA". It matches the Rfam family "Bacterial small subunit ribosomal RNA", at positions 28 to 526 of the family's 1533-position model. The record is from RNAcentral.